CUUUCUCUCCUUUUGUGUCCUUUCUCUCCCAGUCUGAUCUUUGCAGUCAUGUAAUAGACCUAGCCAGGAAGCAACAAUAGAAAACCUUUUUUUCCCCUGCCGCUCCUCAUUGAGGAUCUUUGAAUGUGAUCUGAAUGGGUUUCACAUUGUGUGUGCAUUUGUACACGUGCAGCACAUUGACUGUUACUGUGUGUAUGCGGACAUCUUUGUGUGUGGCUGUAACUUAGUGCACAAACUUGCAUGAAUGUGUGUGCAUGCAGGUUUGUGUUCCAGACAUGGAGAUCAGCUUUGUGUUGCUGUGCAUGAUGCUGGUAGCUAGUGUGACACCAGCGUCUGCUGCAGCACAGCCAGGCAUCAUAGAGAGCCUCCUAUUGGCCACCCAGCAGCGUCCCUGGCUGUGGAGUGUCUAUGUCUUCACUGUUGGACUUCCCGUCAUUCUCUUCAUUAGCUUCAUGUGGCCUGACAAGAGGUUUGGGCCUCCUGAUCAACAGUAUUACUAUAAGAAAUCUGACGAUGCUCAACCAGAUGAUCUGGAGAUCCCAGAGCGCACAGUGGAUACCAAAGGAAAAACUGACAGUGCUGUGACAAGGAGAAGAGACACCCAAGGUAACCAGGGGAAGUCUGACUUAGACCUGAAGGUGAGACUCAACAGACAGUAGCCUGCUGAUGAAUCACAGAGAUUGAUUGUGUGAUGGAGAGGAUGGGAAGUAUUUGCUGGUUUCCAGUCUUAAUGUGGAUCACUGAUCAGUGCAACAAAAUCAGGAGAGGGAAGCAAUACCAGCUCGCAAGAGGAUGCUGAGCGAUCACAUCUCUGCCCAGUCGUACUGAUGGCUGGAUAAAAUGACACCGUGUAAACACAACAAUGCCUGAGGAAUGAACUACAGAUUGUAUUAUGGUUUUGUUUAAUUAACAAUGUCAGAAAAGUCACAUUAUAAUUAUUUAUACAUAUAAUUUUUUAUUUUUACAUAUUUCUAAUUGUUCCCAUAGAAUGUGCCACUUUUAGUGUGAACAGUCAUUUGACGCUAAUAAAACGCGCCCUUUCACA
Micropterus dolomieu (smallmouth bass) is the source of this 1045-nucleotide RNA transcript. It is a transcript of the gene named calnexin-like, with no coding region annotated. Lineage: Eukaryota; Metazoa; Chordata; Actinopteri; Centrarchiformes; Centrarchidae. The record is from RefSeq and is a predicted model, not a curated record. The transcript is spliced from 5 exons.